CCUACGGGAGGCAGCAGUGGGGAAUAUUGGUCAAUGGACGAGACUCUGAUCCAGCCAAGUAGCGUGAAGGAUGACUGCCCUAUGGGUUGUAAACUUCUUUUAUAAUGGAGUAAAACGAGGCACGUGUGCCUUUUUGCCUCUACUUUAUGAAUAAGAAUCGGCUAAAUCCGUGCAAGCAGCCGCGGUAAUACGGAGGAUCCUAGCGGUAUCCGGAGUUAUUGGGGUUAACGGGAGCGUAGAUGGGUUGUUAAGUCAGCUGUGAAAGUUUGCGGCUCAACCGGAAAAUUGCAAUUGAUACUGGCAGUCUUGAGUACAGUUGAGGUAGGCGGAAUUCGUGGUGUAGCGGUGAAAUGCGUAGAUAUCACGAAGAACCCCGAUUGCGAAGGCAGCCUACUAAACUGUGACUGACAUUGAUGCUCGAAAGUGUGGGUAUCAAACAGGAUUAGAUACCCGGGUAGUC
Molecule: ribosomal RNA, 460 nt
Filed under: uncultured bacterium
Lineage: Bacteria
Description: partial 16S ribosomal RNA
Rfam family: Bacterial small subunit ribosomal RNA
Source: RNAcentral